AGUGAACGCUGGCGGUAGGCCUAACACAUGCAAGUCGAACGGCAGCACAGUAAGAGCUUGCUCUUACGGGUGGCGAGUGGCGGACGGGUGAGGAAUACAUCGGAUUCUACUUUUUCGUGGGUGAUAACGUAGGGAAACUUACGCUAAUACCGCAUAUGACCUACGGGUGAAAGCAGUGGAUCUUCGCACCUUUCGCGAUUCAAUUAGCCGAUGUCGGAUUAGCUAGUUGGCGGGGUAAAGGCCCACCAAGGCGACGAUCCGUAGCUGGUCUGAGAGGAUGAUCAGCCACACUGGAACUGAGACACGGUCCAGACUCCUACGGGAGGCAGCAGUGGGGAAUAUUGGACAAUGGGCGAAAGCCUGAUCCAGCAAUACCGCGUGGGUGAAGAAGGCCUUCGGGUUGUAAAGCCCUUUUGUUAGGAAAGAAAAGCAGCAGGUUAAUACCCCGCUGUUCUGACGGUACCCAAAGAAUAAGCAACGGCUAACUUCGUG
RNAcentral lists this ribosomal RNA (492 nucleotides) under uncultured bacterium. RNAcentral describes it as "partial 16S ribosomal RNA". It matches the Rfam family "Bacterial small subunit ribosomal RNA", at positions 29 to 507 of the family's 1533-position model. The record is from RNAcentral.